GUGAUAGGCUGAGACUUGCGGGAGCCUGUCCUCAGGGUGGGGAGGGGCUGAGCCAUCACCCAGCACCAGGUUCCGGUGAGGACCAUAGCAACUCCUGUCCGCACUUUGCAUACUUACAUUAGUUUCCUGAAGAAUUCUCCCAUUGUGCCUUGCCCGACAUCUGAGAGCACCCCCAGGCCUAAAAGCUAGAGUCCCAGGGAGAAUAAAACAGCCUGAGCAAAAAGGCUCCAAGGCAGUUCAAAGACAGAGAGAGACUGAGGAUGAAGUUUUCAAGCCACAUCCAAGGGGAGGGCUUUUCAUCUGCCAGCCUUUGAAUCGGGAAUCAAGGCGGGCAAAGUUACUACCAGGUUAAAGUUUAAAUGGCACAGAAAGGGGAGACAGGAAGAUGAAACGACGGCCGUCUGGCCAGGGGAACAAAGCCGGAGCCCAGCCUGGCCACCUGGCCGCAGAGGCGCUGAGUGGUAGCAGUCCCAGCCAGGAGGGGCUGCGACGCUGCCAUUGUUCAGCUGAAGAACGAAAGUAAUUGAAAGGAAAGAAUCGCCCCGGAGCACUGCUGCUUGACUACCUACCAGCUGUGAUUUCUGGGGUCUUGAAGACACAAAUAGGCCCUGUCCUCCAGCCACUUGGGAGGACAAGUGUCAUCGCAAUCCCUAAGGGAGGGCAGAAGUCAUUCACGGCACUCUACGGAGGGCAGAAGUCAUUCACGGCACUCUACAGAAGCCAGAAGAUGUGCUUAUAGGCGGUGUUGGGUGUUGUCUUGAGCCCACAGUGGGCCUAAGCUGUACUGGGGAUGUUCGAUGAAGGCAGAGAGAGAAAUAAAAGAUCAUGCAGGACCUUCCAUGAGGAUAGGAAGACAAGAAAGGUCAACACACAGCACGGCCAACAAGCAAGACAGUCUAAGAAUGAACAUGGUGACUUAAAAGAUGACAUGGGGGCUGCAGGGAGGGAGAAACAAACAGGGAGGGAAGCACAAGCCUUGUGAGUGUCUUUUUGGAGAGACAGGACUGAGAUGGGUCUCCAAGAUAAAUUUAGAUUUGGAUCAGGACAGGAAAAGAGAGAAAGGCCCUGAUCUGAGGGUAAGGACGAGAUGCACAAAGAGCAGCACAUUCUGUAACAUGUCAGUAGUGAGUAGAGCUUGCUCUGAAAUGAUCCUGCAUAAUAUUAAAAUCACCCUUGAUAAAAGAUGUGCAGCCAGUCUGGAAACGCCAACAGUGAUUGAGCAUAUAGGUGAUGGGGUUUGCAUGUUUGUUAAUUUAUCUGUUGUUUUUCUUUUUUAUCUUUCCACUAUGAAUAUGUAGUACUUGUGCAUUUAAAAAAUGUUAUAAAUCUGCAAGUUAACAAA
This is a long non-coding RNA of Pan troglodytes (chimpanzee), 1342 nucleotides long. RefSeq lists it as uncharacterized. The record is from RefSeq and is a predicted model, not a curated record. The transcript is spliced from 5 exons. NCBI's taxonomy places the organism in Eukaryota, Metazoa, Chordata, Mammalia, Primates, Hominidae.